AGUAAGUUUAUGACAUGUGGACAUGCGCAGAUCAGUCCUCUCUGAAAUGCCUAAACCCAACCAAUCAAGGUGCUUCGUGGGGCGGGUCUUGGCGUUGCGGGAAUCAUAAUUUUGCAGACGGUCGUUACAAGUCACCUCACCACAUGCCGCAACUGACCAGGUGGAGCUGGACCUAUACAUCGCUUCUACGGCACUUUUGAUUAUCUUCAGCCGAGAUUCUUGUGCUUGGCACACUUAUUUGGCUCAAGCAGAAUGGUAAUCAAUCCUCCACACAUUCCAUAAUCCCAGCAAUAAAAGAUACUGUGGACAGUCCAUCAUACCCAGGACUACAGUAUCCUAGAUGCCAACCACAAAAUGGAAGAAAUGAAGAAAAAACAACCAAACGUGGCACUCUCAUUUCACAAAUGAUGGACCAAUCAUUCCCACUAUGCAGACAAGAAAUUGUAAAAAACAAGGGCCUGCUGUACAGAACAUGGUUGAACGAUGGCCAGCACUUUUCACAGAGAGACAGGUGUUUGCUGAGUUUAAUAGAAUCGCCAGUAAGAAUCUUGAGGGAGACUUGAGGCUUUGGACCAGUAUGCCCCACGUUUCAUUGAACUUUUCAAAACAAAAAGGGAACUGUUGGCCAGAAACUCAAGGAGCUGAUGCAGCACAUGAGCUGGCUGACACCAGGCUCUAGAAUGCAUCACUGUUGGUGUCCUGAUGGUUGUCAGUGAAGAUAGUCCUCACGAGGGUCAAAGCUUAGUGGUCCUCCAGCCCAUCUCCACUGCCAUCAUUCUGGAGGGAGGUAUUGUUAUGGAUAAUGUUAAGAACUUGCCUCAAGUCUUUUGUUUGGGAUUACCCAAAAUGCAUGGCAAAUACACUCAACUUUAUUUAGACUGUGAUGCUUGGACUGGGAAAGAAAAACCUCCCACCAAAACGGUUGACUCUGAAGAACAGUCUUCUGGGUUAAAGAGCUGUCCGAUAGAACUUUGGAAGCUUUGCAGCCAUUAAUGUUCUCCUGUUGUUAGAUACAGUUUGAUGCUUUCAUGCAACUGUAUUUGCUUCUGAUCUUAAUAAAUAAAAGAAAUUCCAUUAAAGUCUGUAAUGUUAUCCAGGUAUGCUAAUGUUGGAAAUGGAGCCACCGUGUUUUAUUAAGAGUUGUUAGUUGUUAUUAGAUGAUAAUGUCAGAAAAUAACCUACCACGGUUGUCCUGUUUACAUUUGUGUUUUAGGAAAGCUUUUUAUAGUUGUAAUUUAGUACAAAUACAAACCCCAAGGAGUGAUGUUUUUGUUUGUUGCUUUAAUCCUUUCACUGCUCACUUUGGGACACAAAAGCAUUUGUUGUACUUUCAGUUUAAAAUGCAAUUUUUAACUGAAUGCAAUUUUUUUAAUGUAAAAAAAGUUACAUUUUAACUCUCUACAGUUAAAUCAACCACAACUUUGUUUAGCUGCUGUUAUGUACAUGAAUGUGCAUUGAAUAAAUGUUGUAAUG
Paramisgurnus dabryanus is the source of this 1473-nucleotide long non-coding RNA. RefSeq lists it as uncharacterized. The record is from RefSeq and is a predicted model, not a curated record. Lineage: Eukaryota; Metazoa; Chordata; Actinopteri; Cypriniformes; Cobitidae.